RNAcentral lists this ribosomal RNA (244 nucleotides) under uncultured bacterium. RNAcentral describes it as "partial 16S ribosomal RNA". It matches the Rfam family "Bacterial small subunit ribosomal RNA", at positions 524 to 769 of the family's 1533-position model. The record is from RNAcentral.
UACGAAGGGGCUAGCGUUGCUCGGAAUCACUGGGCGUAAAGAGCUCGUAGGCGGUUUGUCGCGUCGGCUGUGAAAACCUGGGGCUCAACCCCGGGCCUGCAGCCGAUACGGGCAGGCUAGAGUGUGGGUAGGGGAGAUGAAUUCCUGGUGUAGCGGUGAAAUGCGCAGAUAUCAGGAGGAACACCGGUGGCGAAGGCGGAUCUCUGGGCCAUUACUGACGUGAGGAGCGAAAAGCGUGGGGGAG